Molecule: small RNA, 129 nt
Filed under: Klebsiella pneumoniae
Lineage: Bacteria; Pseudomonadati; Pseudomonadota; Gammaproteobacteria; Enterobacterales; Enterobacteriaceae
Also listed under: 4 other names
Description: RtT sRNA
Rfam family: RtT RNA
About the family: This family represents a bacterial cis-regulatory element known as RtT RNA. The exact function of RtT is unknown although it is thought that it may be involved in changing the cellular response in relation to amino acid starvation.
Source: RNAcentral
UAUUCUGCCCCACGGGGAAGGAUGAGAAGCUUCGACUAAGGUUCGACUCGAGCGAAGCGAGAGAACGUUGCCGCAGGCAAUGGCCCGAAGGCGAGGCGCUUUAGCGCCGAGUAAUCCUUCCCCCCACCA